Long non-coding RNA from Parus major (Great Tit), 627 nucleotides. RefSeq lists it as uncharacterized. The transcript has 2 exons. Lineage: Eukaryota; Metazoa; Chordata; Aves; Passeriformes; Paridae. The record is from RefSeq and is a predicted model, not a curated record.
GGCGGGAGGGAAGGAGGGACGGCACCCGCCCUCAGCGGGGACAGCCCCGCCGGGAGCCCGUGGUGGCUGGGUGCUCCCUGAGGAGAGCGAGGGUUCCCUUCAGGUACUGAAAGGAUGCAACUAGGUCACCUCAAAGCUUUCUCUUUUCCCUUCUGAACGAUCCCAACUCUCUCAUCCUUUCAUCACAGCAGAAGUGCUCCAUCCCUCUGAUCAUCCUGGUGCUUUCUCUGGACUCGCUCCAACAGGUCCGUGUCCUUCCUGUGCUGGGACCCCAGAGCUGGAGGCAGGUCGGGUCUCACCGGGGCAGAAUCCUCCCCUGUGCUGCUGCCCACGCUUAUUUUGAUACAUGCUUCACUCACACCUGUCAGCAUCCGGCAGACACUGAAACCUGUCAAACUCCUCACCCACAACUGAAGGACAAUGGAAGCAGCCUAUAAAACAUGGGGCUCUUUAGAAAAACGACUUAAGUUUGCCUUCAGAUUUUGUACCCUGGUCUGGCCAAGUGGUAGAUUGUGUUUACUUGUAGACAGUGGUUUGGUGUGGUUAAACAAAUAUUUAAAAAGUAAGUAUCUAUGCUUAAUUAAAUCACCAUUGUUUAUGUUUAAAUAAAAUAUGUUUAAGUUAUGA